Molecule: long non-coding RNA, 384 nt
Filed under: Linum usitatissimum (flax)
Lineage: Eukaryota; Viridiplantae; Streptophyta; Magnoliopsida; Malpighiales; Linaceae
Description: long non-coding RNA (LUSI_LNC001444)
Source: RNAcentral
AAGAACCGCACAUCUCAUUAAUGAACAUCUAGUUACAAUUCAUGAAUCCACCCUCGAGGGAGAGUUGAGCUAGCUAGCCAGUCCGUCAUACUGUUCCCAAGACGGGGAGUGAAUCUGAUCCGUAGAAUGGCUAUUAAAGGAGGAGUGCUGAAAUACCUUUGAGGUAGUUGAAACACUAUUCGGGCCAUCGGUGUUUUGAACUGUUGAUGGUAUUGAUCAGUUCUUGACAGUCGCAGAAAAUGGUGGAGCGCUUUGUAAAUUCUCGGACUCCAGCAUUAAAAGGAGAUGAACAGUACGCUGUGACAGUCUUCUCGUUCGUCGCUUGGUUGUUGGCAUUGGAAAUAUGAAUAGCUUAAGUCACCUCCUGGAAUUCGGGUGGAUGCC